RNAcentral lists this ribosomal RNA (468 nucleotides) under uncultured bacterium. RNAcentral's name for it is "partial 16S ribosomal RNA". It matches the Rfam family "Bacterial small subunit ribosomal RNA", at positions 28 to 507 of the family's 1533-position model. The record is from RNAcentral.
GACGAACGCUGGCGGCGUGCUUAACACAUGCAAGUCGAACGGAAAGGCCCUGCUUUUGUGGGGUGCUCGAGUGGCGAACGGGUGAGUAACACGUAAGUAACCUGCCCUUGACUUUGGGAUAACUUCAGGAAACGGGGGCUAAUACCGGAUAGGAGCUCCUGCUGCAUGGUGGGCGUUGGAAAGUUUCGGCGGUUGCGGAUGGACUCGCGGCUAAUCAGCUUGUUGGUGGGGUAGUGGCUUACCAAGGCUUUGACGGGUAGCCGGCCUGGGAGGGUGACCGGGCACAUUGGGCCUGAGGUAGGGCCCAGACGGCAACGGGGGGCAGCAGUGGGGAACAUGGCACAAUGGGCGGAAGCCGGAUGCAGCGACGCCGCGUGCGUGAUGACGGUUUUCGGGGAGUAAACCGCUUUAGCCUGUGACGAAGCGUGAGUGACGGUAAUGGGUAAAGAAGCACCGGCUAACUACGUG